Micropterus salmoides (largemouth bass) is the source of this 3244-nucleotide long non-coding RNA. RefSeq lists it as uncharacterized. The transcript is spliced from 3 exons. NCBI's taxonomy places the organism in Eukaryota, Metazoa, Chordata, Actinopteri, Centrarchiformes, Centrarchidae. The record is from RefSeq and is a predicted model, not a curated record.
AAUAGUAACACCAGCUGACCUUUCAGAUCCAUGAGCUCAUCCUUCAAGUCUUGGUGCAAUGAGACUCUUGUAGAAAACAGAAAUCACUUUUAAACUUCUUGAUAAAUAAGAAAACUACGGAGCCCCCCUGGUGACAUUAAUGGAAAAUAUAUUAAUUCGUGGCCACAAAUUAUUUUUUUGAGACCACGAAUUAUUAUUUUCAGGCUAGGAAUUAUUUUUUUGAGGCCACGAAUUAAUUUUGCGAGGCUGCAAUGUUGUGUCAAGGCCUGUGGCCUUAAGGAAUCUGGACGGCUCAUUUGACGGCAACCAUUCGACACCAGGAAGGAGAGCAGUCCUGGCAGCUCCCUCUAAGAGGAAACUACAGAUUCCUAAAAUGGAAGGGCAGGAUGACCCCUUACUGCAAUUUCUGCAAGACCGUGGAAUUGAACAAGACAUUUUGCACAAACUAAAAAAUGACAAGAUUGACUCAUCAGUAGUCACACUGAUGUCUGAAGAAGAUCUGGCAAAGUAUAUCCCCCAUUACGGAGAUCGCCUAGCAGCUGUAGCCUUCUGCCGCAGUAACCAUCGUGGACAUUACGGAACAUCUACGCAAGAUGGACUCCUAGAACGAAUAAGGGCAAAGUACUGUGCUCCAGAUAACAAGGCUAAGAAGAGACAGGCGACAUGGGAUAAAUUAAGAGGAAAUAAGAAUGCAAAGAAAACCGUGAGAAGAUUAGAAAUAGGGUGGAUUCACUUCUGCAGACAACAAUACUUUCAAACAGGUGCGAGCUAAAAAAAAGGGGGUGGGACCCGCCAUAUUUGUGUGGACAGGCAAGCAAAACUCCGUGACAUCCAAACAACUGCUGAGUCUAUUUUUUUCCCCAAUGGUUUCUGCAAGUCUCUGAAACUGACUGACCAUGUUCGCCACAUGUGACUUUGCACAAAAUGACAUUGACCUAGACAGUACAGUUGAGGAUUUGUAUGAGAAAAACAAAGUCAAGAUACUCAGAUUGUACCUCUGCACCAAGAGAAGUGUUCAGGAAACAAACAGCUUAACUGAUAAUCCUUUGACACCUUCGGAUAUUUCACAGGGUGUCAAUGAAGGUCAAUUAUCAACAUCAGAGGACACAAUUGACUUAACGUUACUGUCAGACUCAGAUGUGACAGACCUCUUGGUGUAUCAAGAGCUAUCACAUGUGGAAAUGGUCUUUCACAACCAAGAUGAAGUAAAAGGAAUAGGCGUGGAAGAAGACAGACCAGACCAAGCAGCAGCUUUGCCUGAAGCUCGUGAUGCAGAAUCGAUGCUGCCCACCUAUAUACGUAGAUGGUGAAGUAAUGGUUCAAGGGCCACUAACAGAUACUGUUGACUUGGAGGAUACUUUGCCCUGGGAGGAUUUAAAGCCAAAGGUCACUAUUGUAGUGCGUCGGGGUACUGUCUUGCUGACCUUAUAGCAGCCUUCGUUGACCCAGAUCUAAUGACCAAAGAUGCCCAAAUAAAAAUGAAGCUUCCCAAUGGACAGCUGGAGGAAGGCGAAGGUGAAGGUGUGCUGCGUGACUGCCUGUCAGAAUUCUGGGGAGAAUUUUACAACAAAUGCACAUUGGGUACAAAUGUAAAGACACCCUACCUCAGACAUGAGUAUCAAGUAGGGGAGUGGUAAGCAAUUGCUAGGGUCCUUGUGACAGGCUGGACAUCUGUCAGGUAUUUCCCAGUGCUUCUCCCGCUUCCAUUCUUAGAAGAAACCCUGUAUGGAACUACUUACACUAGUGUGAUGGAGACCUUUUUACAGUAUGUGUCAAAAGAAGAGAAGGAGAUCCUUGAGCUUGCAUUGAGAUCAUUUGAAUCAGCUGACAAAGAGGACCUAUUGGAUGUGUUGGAUGCACACGAUUGUUACCACCUUGCCACUGAAAACAAUAUUGCAGGACUUUUGUCUCAGUUAGGUCACAAGACCCUAAUCCAGACACCAGUGUUUGUCAUUGAAUGCUGGAAGCCCAUCCUGAAAACCCUGGCAGAUACUUUGUAUCCACAGAAACUUGUUGAGGUAAUAGAAGGGCAUAUCCCAAAUCCAAAGCGUGUUAAGGAUCUGCUGAAAUUCCCUGAACAGAUGACAGCCGCUCAAAACACCGUGGCAAGACAUUUGAGGAGGUACAUCGGUGAGUGUGACAGUUCUGUUUUAAAGGCUUUCCUUCGCUUCUGCACAAGGGCAGAUGUCCUUUGUGGACACAACAUCACAGUUCAGUUCAUCGAGACUACCACAUUCCAGUGUCGACCACAGGCUCAUACAUGUGGCUGUCAUCUGAUGUUACCUGUCAACUAUCUGAACUACCCAGACCUCCGUAACGACUUUGAUCUUAUUCUCAGAAGCUCUGUCUAGGUAAUGGACAUGAUCUAAAUUGUCCAAGCAGCUAAUGGCGGACACCCACACACAUUAUUCCUACAAGUGUUUUAAAUUCCUGUUAUCAUUUUAUUUUGCUUGUGAGUGCUUAUUAGUUAUGCUCUCGCUACCUGCACAACAGUUCAAAUUACUAGCUUCAGUUGCACACCAGUUUCAAUUGCUGAUGUUACCUUUCAACUAUCUAACCUUCCAAGAUCUCCAUAAUGACCUUGAUCUUAUUCUACGAAGCUCAGUCUGGGUAAACUGGGAAAUUAUUUAAAUUCCUAAAACAGCCUAUGGUGGACUUACAUACACACGCACACGUGCACGCACACACCAUUAUUCUUAUGCAUUUUUAAUUCAUGUUAUAAUUUUGUUAUUUUACAGAGUGUUUGUUAGUUAUACAUUUACUAAAUGUUACCUGCAUAAUAGUUCAAUAGCAGAAGCUCAGUUUGAACAAUGAAUAUGAUCUAAAUUCUCCAAGCCCUCUAUGGUGGACACACAUACACACCCACCAUUAUUCUUACAAGUGUUUUAAAUUCCUGUUAUUACGAUUGUUAUUUUACAGAGUGCUUGUUAGUUAUGCAUUCACUAAAUGUUAUCUGCAUAACAGUUCAUAUGACGUAAUUCACUUGCGCACCAGUUUUAAAACAGCAUAUUGUGAUAUGGCAAUUAAAAGGGACCCUCACGACCAGUAGCUUUAUUCUUUCAAAUUAUAAAAGUUAUGUUAAGAAUGAGUUUAUCACAAACUAUACACUGUCAGUUACCAAAGUGUUGUUAGUCAUGAAAUUAUGCAUUAAUUUUUGCAUACCAGAAUCAUUUAUGAUAUGGCCAGAUGGAAAAUUCAACUUGGUAGUGAAAUUGUUGAAUAAAAUUGAACAGUAUUGUGUGAA